Long non-coding RNA from Conger conger (European conger), 317 nucleotides. RefSeq lists it as uncharacterized. Lineage: Eukaryota; Metazoa; Chordata; Actinopteri; Anguilliformes; Congridae. The record is from RefSeq and is a predicted model, not a curated record. The transcript has 2 exons.
GUGUGUGUGUGUGCAUGCGUGUGUGUGUGUGUGUGUGUGUGUGUGUGUGUGUCAGUCAUUGUCAUUGGGAGACAUUGGCUCAGGAGUAUCUGCUGCUGAAACAGAGACUGGGUGCUGUGGAGUGAUAGAUCAUUCCUGCUGGAAGUGGCUCUGAUAUCUGUGUACUUACUAUCACUUAGUCUGGAUUUAUGUUUGUUCAUCUGCCAACGGAAGAAACAGGGAAAUAUCUGUUUUUGUAUGGAGAACUGUAAAAACCAAACUUUUCUGUCUCAGACAGUUUUGAUUGGUAGCCAUGAAUUAAAAACAAAUUAAUAAAA